CCUACGGGCGGCAGCAGUGAGGAAUAUUGGUCAAUGGGCGAGAGCCUGAACCAGCCAAGUAGCGUGAAGGAUGACGGCUCUAUGGUUUGUAAACUUCUUUUAUAAGGGAAUAAAGUGAGGCACGUGUGCCUUUUUGUAUGUACCUUAUGAAUAAGCAUCGGCUAACUCCGUGCCAGCAGCCGCGGUAAUACGGAGGAUGCGAGCGUUAUCCGGAUUUAUUGGGUUUAAAGGGAGCGUAGGUGGUUUGUUAAGUCAGCGGUGAAAGUUUGUGGCUCAACCAUAAAAUUGCAGUUGAAACUGGCAGACUUGAGUACAGUUGAGGUAGGCGGAAUGCGUGGUGUAGCGGUGAAAUGCAUAGAUAUCACGCAGAACUCCGAUUGCGAAGGCAGCUUACUAAACUACAACUGACACUGAUGCUCGAAAGCGUGGGGAUCAAACAGGAUUAGAUACCCGAGUAGUC
This 460-nucleotide ribosomal RNA is filed under the name uncultured bacterium. RNAcentral's name for it is "partial 16S ribosomal RNA". It matches the Rfam family "Bacterial small subunit ribosomal RNA", at positions 338 to 795 of the family's 1533-position model. The record is from RNAcentral.